CCUACGGGAGGCAGCAGUGAGGAAUAUUGGUCAAUGGACGAGAGUCUGAACCAGCCAAGUAGCGUGAAGGAUGACUGCCCUAUGGGUUGUAAACUUCUUUUAUAUGGGAAUAAAAUGUUCCACGUGUGGGAUUUUGUAUGUACCAUAUGAAUAAGGAUCGGCUAACUCCGUGCCAGCAGCCGCGGUAAUACGGAGGAUCCGAGCGUUAUCCGGAUUUAUUGGGUUUAAAGGGAGCGUAGGUGGAUUGUUAAGUCAGUUGUGAAAGUUUGCGGCUCAAACGUAAAAUUGCAGUUGAAACUGGCAGUCUUGAGGACAGUAGAGGUGGGCGGAAUUCGUGGUGUAGCGGUGAAAUGCUUAGAUAUCACGAAGAACUCCGAUUGCGAAGGCAGUUCACUGGACUGCAACUGACACUGAGGCUCGAAAGUGUGGGUAUCAAACAGGAUUAGAUACCCGAGUAGUC
Molecule: ribosomal RNA, 460 nt
Filed under: uncultured bacterium
Lineage: Bacteria
Description: partial 16S ribosomal RNA
Rfam family: Bacterial small subunit ribosomal RNA
Source: RNAcentral